CCUACGGGCGGCAGCAGUGAGGAAUAUUGGUCAAUGGGCGCGAGUCUGAACCAGCCAAGCAGCGUGAAGGAUGACGGCCCUACGGGUUGUAAACUUCUUUUAUAAAGGAAUAAAGUGAGGCACGUGUGCCUUUUUGUAUGUACUUUACGAAUAAGGAUCGGCUAACUCCGUGCCAGCAGCCGCGGUAAUACGGAGGAUCCGAGCGUUAUCCGGAUUUAUUGGGUUUAAAGGGAGCGUAGGUGGGUUGUUAAGUCAGUUGUGAAAUUUUGCGGCUCAACCGUGAAAUUGCAAUUGAUACUGGCAGUCUAGAGUACAGUUGAGGUAGGCGGAAUUCAUGGUGUAGCGGUGAAAUGCUUAGAUAUCACGUAGAACUCCGAUUGCGAAGGCAGCUUACUAAACUGCAACUGACAUUGAGGCUCGAAAGUGUGGGGAGCAAACAGGAUUAGAUACCCCGGUAGUC
Molecule: ribosomal RNA, 460 nt
Filed under: uncultured bacterium
Lineage: Bacteria
Description: partial 16S ribosomal RNA
Rfam family: Bacterial small subunit ribosomal RNA
Source: RNAcentral